CUAAAUUGAAUUUUUAAUAUUAAUUAUUUAAUUUUCGAAAUUAAUAAAUUAAUAAAUUAUUUUUCGGAAAUUAAGAUUUUGAUGGCCGACGACCGAAAUCUCGUGCUGAUCGUCGUGGCGCAGUCCGUUUAUUUAUUUGAGCUCCACGUUGUAUGGAAUUGAGUAAAUUGUGAUAUUUUAGGGAUUUACCCUAAAUUGAUUGGAAUCGAUUGAGAUUGAAUUAUCGAUUGGUGAAUGGCCAAGUAUGUUUAUUCAGCAUUUAUAAUGCUUUGUUGAGUUAAUUUAAUUAUUUGAUUGAG
This 299-nucleotide long non-coding RNA is filed under the name Eucalyptus grandis. RNAcentral describes it as "long non-coding RNA (EGRA_LNC003231)". Lineage: Eukaryota; Viridiplantae; Streptophyta; Magnoliopsida; Myrtales; Myrtaceae. The record is from RNAcentral.